Molecule: long non-coding RNA, 1205 nt
Organism: Gallus gallus (chicken)
Lineage: Eukaryota; Metazoa; Chordata; Aves; Galliformes; Phasianidae
Exons: 4
Source: RefSeq, a predicted model, not a curated record
AGGUUACAAUAACACCACAUCAGUCCAUGCCAUGGAGAUCCAGCAGGCCAUUAACCUGGACCCUGGAAGCACGUGCUGAGUAGGCACUCCCCCUUUACAAGGAUGGAAUGACUACAUAUAUCUAUAACACGGAAACACUAACAGUGAUGUGAAAGUGGAACCUAAUUGAGGAGAUCUGCUCAUCUAACCGUCCCAUGCCCAGAGAGCUUUUACAAGCCUCCAAGGAGACCUGAGGGCAACUAUGAUGGAGGAAACCGAUAGAGAAGCUGUCAAGGCCAGGGAAGCAUUGCUAAUCCCUGCCUCAGCCUACCAGCCCAGGACUGGCAACCCUGACAUCGCAGGCUAAGAAGUGCCAUAUGAUUGCAGUGAUGAAUUAGUGCUGUAAGGACCUGCACUAGCUCUGGUAUUUGUGCCAGCAGAGGUCACAAAUUCAGAGCAGAAGCUGCAGCAACAGUUCCCAACACUGCAGUAUGUACCAGCUGCCAGAAGUGAUUUGAGACCAAGACACUGGAGUAGGAUCAGUGUGUGAGGAGAGAAAUCUUAUUCUGGAAGAAGAAAAUUUCAGGAGGAUAUCUUUCUAAAAAUCCAUCUGUUCCUCAUCUUCUCUGAUGAAGAUUUCUCAGCCACACUGAUGCACAUCCACAGAGCAGAUGCAGGUUUUUCAUUAGACAAUAAGCCCAUCAUUGUAACUCUGACUCCUGAGAAACAACUGGAGAGUCCUAGUAUUGUGUGAUGCCUCCUGUUAAGCAGAUAAAUGUGCUGUACAGCCACUCGUUCCUCCCAAGAACUAGAGUUGCAUACACCAUCUGCUUUGAACUGGUCCAGUCAUUUUGAAAUGAUGCUAGUGGCCUUAAUAAUGAGAUUAAGGCUACAAGCUUUUCAGAAGAGAUAAGCAGGAAAGGAGGUAUGGGGGAGUUGCCCUCUACAUUAACAGGUGGAGAGAGUGCAAAGAGCUGCCUCAGUGAGGCUGGUGAGGCCUUCUUGCUUCAACUGCAGGAAGUGUUGUGCUCACAGACUCUCACCUUGAUGGAGGAUUUCAACCAUCUCGUCACGAGAUGAGUUAAGAGUUGUGGCACUCUAGGCUGUAGUGACCAUGCCCUGGUAGUUUGUGGUCUUGAGGAGGGGUGGUCUGGCAAAAAGCUAAGAUAGCUGAGGAAGCUUGGGCCUGUUCAGCCUGGAGAAGGCUCAUGGGAGACCUCACUGCA